This 306-nucleotide long non-coding RNA is filed under the name Phasianus colchicus (ring-necked pheasant). RNAcentral describes it as "lncRNA (ENSPCLG00000018084.1)". Lineage: Eukaryota; Metazoa; Chordata; Aves; Galliformes; Phasianidae. The record is from RNAcentral.
AUGGAGACUGCUUGCAGAUCAAGCAGCAUUUCUCAACCUGUCAGAAAAUCAAAGGCAAUACAGAGCAUCUCUUCCUAUCCAUCAUACAGUCCAUUUGCAACUCAGGACAUGCUCCCUAUGACAAAAGGAAAACAGGAACUAUUGCAAGAUAACACCUUAGCAAUGAUACCUCAGUGGGUCCAGAAUAAGGCUGCAAGUAUACUCUGGGAGCUGGAGCACCUGCCCUCUGAAGAAAUGCUGAGGAACCUGCAGCCUGAAAAAGAGAAGGCUCUGGAGGAGAUCUCAUUGCAAUCUUCCAGUAUUUAA